Molecule: long non-coding RNA, 808 nt
Organism: Misgurnus anguillicaudatus (oriental weatherfish)
Lineage: Eukaryota; Metazoa; Chordata; Actinopteri; Cypriniformes; Cobitidae
Source: RefSeq, a predicted model, not a curated record
UAAAAUGUAUUAACUGUUUAAUGGAGGCAAUGAAAACAUUGGAAAUGCAUAUAUUGCAAGCCAAGAAGUCAGAGAAAACGACUGAGCUAAUUUAGUAAGUCAAAUUUCGCUGAUGCAGCGGUUAAACCUAGGAGGGAAACCGCUUGCAUUUGUUUUGACUCCACUGUAAACUUUCUCACCGACACGCCCCACGGAAUCCCCGAUACACAAGAGGUUCCCGCGUCUCUAACAGUCUUGAGAACCGGUCGGGGCAGAGAUUAACAUUACAGGUUGUCUAUGGUGGUUUGGGUGUAAAUACGGAGGAAGAACUCCCCCUGCUGGUUGGGCCUGAAGGUGGAGGCCAUUAUAACGUAAGUGCCAGGUUCCAGGUGCACCUUCCUCCACACACUCCUGAUGCUCCGGUACUUUCCAGAGCGACUGACAGGCCUGUUGUUGGAGAAAAACUGCUGGUCUAGAGAACCUGGUUUGUCCUGCAACUAAAGGAGCUCCACCAAUAUUGUGCCCUUCUUCUUCUUUUCCUGUUUCCCGGUUUUGAUCACAGGAGGUGGCACAUCAACUUCAUCUUCUUCUCCAGCCGGAUCUUCGUCCUCAAUCUCGUCCUCUAUAAAGUCAUGGUCAUCCACGUCUUUCUCAGACAAAACCAGUUGGAACUGAGGGUUUCUCCAGAAUGAUCCUAUGGAGAUGAUGAAGAACAACAACAACAACAACAAGAAGAUGAAGAGAAAUGACUACAAGCAAGCGAGAAGUUAGGCUAAUUCUUUGUUAAAUACAUGUUAUAAAAUAAAAAUAAAUACAUUUAUGCAUCAAA